GUACACGCUGUGACUAGCAUAUCAAUAAGCGGAGGAAAAGAAACUAACAAGGAUUCCCCUAGUAACGGCGAGUGAAGCGGGAAGAGCUCAAAUUUGAAAUCUUAAAGGGUUUCCCUUUACGAAUUGUAGUUUAAAGAAGUGUUUUCUGUUGAGGUUUUGGUAAAAGUUCUUUGGAAUAGGACAUCAUAGAGGGUGAGAAUCCCGUAUUUGACCUUUACUUUCAACUUUGUGAUACACUUUCAAAGAGUCGGAUUGUUUGGGAAUGCAGUCCAAAAUGGGUGGUAAAUUUCAUCUAAAGCUAAAUAUUGGCGAGAGACCGAUAGCGAACAAGUACCGUGAGGGAAAGAUGAAAAGAACUUUGAAAAGAGAGUUAAACAGUACGUGAAAUUGUCAAAAGGGAAGCGUUUGACACCAGUGUUGUUUUUCUGAAAAUCAAUUGAAGAACUGUUUAUGCUAAGUUGUUUAGACUUUAUCAGCUAACUGUUUAGUUUUGAGCUUUUCUUUAAUGCACUUUUCAGUUAACAAGUCAACAUCAAUUUCUUUUGCUGUAAAAAAGCUUGAGGAAGGUGGCUUGAGAUUCGUCUUAAGUGUUUAUAGCCUCUUGCCUAUGCAGUCGGAGAGAUUGAGGUCUGCAGCGUAGAUCCUUCGGGGCUAAAUGCAUUUGUGCUAAGUUAUAGCAUUUUAUAGACAACAUGUUGACUAUGAUUCGUCUUGUAGCUUACUCGCUUAUGUUAUUUUACCUACGCUUAGGAUGUUGACAGCAGUAUAGACUG
Molecule: ribosomal RNA, 773 nt
Filed under: uncultured Neocallimastigales
Lineage: Eukaryota; Fungi; Neocallimastigomycota; Neocallimastigomycetes; Neocallimastigales
Description: partial large subunit ribosomal RNA
Rfam family: Eukaryotic large subunit ribosomal RNA
Source: RNAcentral